RNAcentral lists this small RNA (83 nucleotides) under Flavobacterium succinicans. RNAcentral's name for it is "Flavo-1 RNA". It matches the Rfam family "Flavo-1 RNA". The record is from Rfam by way of RNAcentral. Lineage: Bacteria; Pseudomonadati; Bacteroidota; Flavobacteriia; Flavobacteriales; Flavobacteriaceae.
CAAUAGCCCCGGCAGGAGCGGCAUCCUUUUUGGUGCCGAUUUUUUUCGGCACCAAAAAGAUAUAGCGGAUGACGGGACGAUGC